RNAcentral lists this transfer RNA (65 nucleotides) under bovine gut metagenome. It matches the Rfam family "tRNA", at positions 5 to 66 of the family's 71-position model. From Rfam's summary of the family: Transfer RNA (tRNA) molecules are approximately 80 nucleotides in length. Their secondary structure includes four short double-helical elements and three loops (D, anti-codon, and T loops). The record is from RNAcentral.
UCUAUAGCUCAGUUGGUAGAGCAGCGGACUCUUAAUCCGCGGGUCGUGGGUUCGAGUCCCUCUGG